AUAUUAGUAAGCAGAGGAAUUUCAUCAAACUUGGAUUUUGUAAGUAGUUGCGAAUGAACACAAACAUGUUCAACCUCAAAAUUGGUGUGCUCCAUGUGUGCACUGACUUGUUUCAGAGUUCAUCACUAUCAAAGCUGCAUGCAAAUGAUUUUUGAAAGGAUACAACAUGGGAUGUGACAUUCAUGUCUGUGUGCUUGCUUUGAUUACAGUGUGUGCUCUAUGAUUCACAUUUCUUGUAACUGAAAUGCAAAUUGCAUGGUAAAGUUCAUGUGAUGUGAUAUGUGUUUGAGAUUCAUGAUGUGCAAGUACCAUGAGGGAAAUGUGAAAAGGACUUUGAAAAGAGAAUUAAACAAAGCCUGCAUUUGCUGAUUGUAAACGUAAGUGAGGAUUGUAAUAGUAAUGUCUCUGCAUCAGUUGACAUGUCUUACGUGUUGUUGUAUGCUUGGCAUUAUGUUCAGCACCACUGAGUGUGCGUACUGGCUUUGAUUGAACUGAUUUCAUGUGGAACUGUUGAAUGAAGAUGCAUGUACACUUGUGUGAAGUAAUGUACGCACCAACUGUGAUCAUGCACUGUUUGCACAUGUUUUCAUGUGCUUCCUUGCUAAUUCUUGAUGUCACUUGGCAUAUUAUAACUACCCUCACUUGACCCGUCUUGA
This 656-nucleotide ribosomal RNA is filed under the name Ostreopsis cf. siamensis Dn20EHU. RNAcentral describes it as "LSU rRNA". It matches the Rfam family "Eukaryotic large subunit ribosomal RNA", at positions 40 to 657 of the family's 3401-position model. Lineage: Eukaryota; Dinophyceae; Peridiniales; Ostreopsidaceae. The record is from RNAcentral.